AGUCGAGCGGUAACAGGGGGUGCUUGCACCCCGCUGACGAGCGGCGGACGGGUGAGUAAUGCAUAGGAAUCUGCCCGAUAGUGGGGGAUAACCUGGGGAAACCCAGGCUAAUACCGCAUACGUCCUACGGGAGAAAGGGGGCUCCGGCUCCCGCUAUGGGAUGAGCCUAUGUCGGAUUAGCUAGUUGGUGAGGUAACGGCUCACCAAGGCCACGAUCCGUAGCUGGUCUGAGAGGAUGAUCAGCCACAUCGGGACUGAGACACGGCCCGAACUCCUACGGGAGGCAGCAGUGGGGAAUAUUGGACAAUGGGCGAAAGCCUGAUCCAGCCAUGCCGCGUGUGUGAAGAAGGCCCUCGGGUUGUAAAGCACUUUCAGCGAGGAAGAACGCCUAGCGGUUAAUACCCGCUAGGAAAGACAUCACUCGCAGAAGAAGCACCGGCUAACUCCGUGCCAGCAGCCGCGGUAAUACGGAGGGUGCGAGCGUUAAUCGGAAUUACUGGGCGUAAAGCGCGCGUAGGUGGCUUGAUAAGCCGGUUGUGAAAGCCCCGGGCUCAACCUGGGAACGGCAUCCGGAACUGUCAAGCUAGAGUGCAGGAGAGGAAGGUAGAAUUCCCGGUGUAGCGGUGAAAUGCGUAGAGAUCGGGAGGAAUACCAGUGGCGAAGGCGGCCUUCUGGACUGACACUGACACUGAGGUGCGAAAGCGUGGGUAGCAAACAGGAUUAGAUACCCUGGUAGUCCACGCCGUANACGAUGUCGACCAGCCGUUGGGUGCCUAGCGCACUUUGUGGCGAAGUUAACGCGAUAAGUCGACCGCCUGGGGAGUACGGCCGNCAGGUUAAAACUCAAAUGAAUUGACGGGGGCCCGCACAAGCGGUGGAGCAUGUGGUUUAAUUCGAUGCAACGCGAAGAACCUUACCUACUCUUGAC
This 928-nucleotide ribosomal RNA is filed under the name uncultured bacterium. Its description in RNAcentral is "bacterial SSU rRNA". It matches the Rfam family "Bacterial small subunit ribosomal RNA", at positions 60 to 985 of the family's 1533-position model. The record is from RNAcentral.